UUACGGUCAUAUCACGCUGACCAACCGGUUGCCGUACGAUCACUGAAGUUAAGCAACGUUGAGUUUGAACAGUACCUAGAUAAGUGACCGGUUGCGAAUAACAGUUGCUGCAAG
This is a non-coding RNA of Acanthosepion pharaonis, 114 nucleotides long. The record is from the annotation of a GenBank genome assembly. NCBI's taxonomy places the organism in Eukaryota, Metazoa, Mollusca, Cephalopoda, Sepiida, Sepiidae.